UACGUAGGGUGCGAGCGUUGUCCGGAAUUAUUGGGCGUAAAGGGCUCGUAGGCGGUUUGUCGCGUCGGGAGUGAAAUCCACUGGCUUAACUGGUGGCUUGCUUUCGAUACGGGCAGACUGGAGGUAUGCAGGGGAGAACGGAAUUCCUGGUGUAGCGGUGAAAUGCGCAGAUAUCAGGAGGAACACCGGUGGCGAAGGCGGUUCUCUGGGCCUUACCUGACGCUGGAGGAGCGAAAGCGUGGGGAGCGAACAGG
This 254-nucleotide ribosomal RNA is filed under the name uncultured bacterium. RNAcentral describes it as "partial 16S ribosomal RNA". It matches the Rfam family "Bacterial small subunit ribosomal RNA", at positions 524 to 776 of the family's 1533-position model. The record is from RNAcentral.